RNAcentral lists this ribosomal RNA (327 nucleotides) under uncultured Mortierella. RNAcentral's name for it is "SSU rRNA". It matches the Rfam family "Eukaryotic small subunit ribosomal RNA", at positions 1326 to 1674 of the family's 1831-position model. Lineage: Eukaryota; Fungi; Mortierellomycota; Mortierellomycetes; Mortierellales; Mortierellaceae. The record is from RNAcentral.
CGAUAACGAACGAGACCUUAACCUGCUAAAUAGUUAGGCCAACGCUUGUUGGUCGUCAACUUCUUAGAGGGACUAUUGACUAUUAGUCAAUGGAAGUUUGAGGCAAUAACAGGUCUGUGAUGCCCUUAGAUGUUCUGGGCCGCACGCGCGCUACACUGAUCAAGUCAGCGAGUCUACAACCUUGGCCGGAAGGUCUGGGUAAUCUUUUGAAACUUGAUCGUGCUGGGGAUAGUCCAUUGCAAUUAUUGGACUUCAACGAGGAAUUCCUAGUAAGCGUGAGUCAUCAGCUCGCGUUGAUUACGUCCCUGCCCUUUGUACACACCGCCC